Molecule: ribosomal RNA, 497 nt
Filed under: uncultured bacterium
Lineage: Bacteria
Description: partial 16S ribosomal RNA
Rfam family: Bacterial small subunit ribosomal RNA
Source: RNAcentral
GAUGAACGCUGGCGGCGUGCCUAAUACAUGCAAGUCGAGCGAACAGACGAGGAGCUUGCUCCUCUGACGUUAGCGGCGGACGGGUGAGUAACACGUGGAUAACCUACCUAUAAGACUGGGAUAACUUCGGGAAACCGGAGCUAAUACCGGAUAACAUGUUGAACCGCAUGGUUCAACAGUGAAAGACGGUCUUGCUGUCACUUAUAGAUGGAUCCGCGCCGCAUUAGCUAGUUGGUAAGGUAACGGCUUACCAAGGCAACGAUGCGUAGCCGACCUGAGAGGGAGAUCGCCCACACUGGAACUGAGGCAGGGUCCAGACUCCUACGGGAGGCAGCAGUAGGGAAUCUUACGCAAUGGGGGAAAGCCUGACGGAGCAACGCGGCGUGAGUGAAGAAGGUCUUCGGAUCGUAAAACUCUGUUAUUAGGGAAGAACAAAUGUGUAAGUAACUAUGCACGUCUUGACGGUACCUAGUCAGAAAGCCACGGCUAACUACGUG